Molecule: unclassified non-coding RNA, 240 nt
Filed under: soil metagenome
Description: partial contains 5.8S ribosomal RNA, internal transcribed spacer 2, and large subunit ribosomal RNA
Source: RNAcentral
AACAUCGCGCACCUGCGGGAACCUGCGGAAGGAUCAUUACUGAGUGCGGGUUCCAAUGAGCCCAACCUCCCACCCGUGUUUACCGUAACCGCGUUGCCUCGGCGGGCCCACUGGGGCCUGUCCCCGGUCGCCGGGGGGCAUCUGCCCCCGGGCCCGCGCCCGCCGAAGCGCCCUAGAACCCUGCCUGAACAGUGAGUCUGAGUGAGUGAUUGAAUCAUUAAAACUUUUAGCAAUGGAUCU